RNAcentral lists this transfer RNA (76 nucleotides) under Myxococcales bacterium. RNAcentral's name for it is "tRNA-Val". It matches the Rfam family "tRNA". Rfam says of the family: Transfer RNA (tRNA) molecules are approximately 80 nucleotides in length. Their secondary structure includes four short double-helical elements and three loops (D, anti-codon, and T loops). The record is from RNAcentral. Lineage: Bacteria; Pseudomonadati; Myxococcota; Myxococcia; Myxococcales.
AGGCACGUAGCUCAAGUGGUAGAGCGCUAUCUUGACGUGGUAGAUGUUGGCGGUUCAAGUCCGCCCGUGCCUACCA